UACAGAGGUGGCAAGCGUUGUUCGGAAUUACUGGGCGUAAAGGGCGCGUAGGCGGUCGGGCAAGUCCUGUGUGAAAUCCCUCGGCUCAACUGAGGAACUGCACGGGAAACUGCCUGACUUGAGUUCGGGAGAGGGAAGCGGAAUUCCGGGUGUAGCGGUGAAAUGCGUAGAUAUCCGGAGGAACACCGGUGGCGAAGGCGGCUUCCUGGACCGACACUGACGCUGAGGCGCGAAAGCUAGGGGAGCAAACGGG
This 253-nucleotide ribosomal RNA is filed under the name uncultured bacterium. RNAcentral's name for it is "partial 16S ribosomal RNA". It matches the Rfam family "Bacterial small subunit ribosomal RNA", at positions 524 to 776 of the family's 1533-position model. The record is from RNAcentral.